Molecule: long non-coding RNA, 1397 nt
Filed under: Phoenix dactylifera (date palm)
Lineage: Eukaryota; Viridiplantae; Streptophyta; Magnoliopsida; Arecales; Arecaceae
Description: long non-coding RNA (PDAC_LNC008452)
Source: RNAcentral
UUUUAUUUUAUAUUUAUUACGCACUUUUACUCUUGUAAUGAUUCCUCCAUGUAACGAGCAUUCAGUCAACACUCCCACACCAGAUGGCAUAAGGUGUUAGGCAUCAAGACUCCCCUACGGACCUAUGCUCGGGUUCAUCAUCACAAGCCCGCUGACCUUUUAACGAUAGGUAGCCCUUUUCGAUGUACCUGACUAAAUUCACUUUUUUUUUUAGGAUAAUAGUGAAUUAAAUAGGUAUGAUUCAUCAGGACUCAAGGUUGCUACCAGACUUAACAACAUAAUGUUGAACUUAACCCUUAGAAGUGCAGGCCAUGUGUGUUGUGAAAUUCCAAAGUAAAAAUUAUCUUACAACUCACUAAAAGAACUUUUAAUGAAAAGAACUCAAAUAGUCUUACUCCUGACUAAUCAUUGAGCUUUUUAGAUUUUAUAUACUUUGUGUAUUUAUCAUUUCAGCACUAAGGCAUGGAAAUUAGGUGUUUUUUUUUAUAGGUAAAUCUUAUUCAAAAAUGCGAAAAUAAAAAUUUCUUCAAAAAUUUCAAUCUUAUUUGAUUCAACUGGAAAGAGCCAACGGCUCUGUUCUUUGGAUUUGGAAGAAAGAUACGGGAGCUAGAAGAUAAGGAUGAAGCAGGGGAGGAUGCAUUUGGACGUUGGGAAUUUCAUGAGAUCAAGCCGUGGACGAUGGGAUUCUAUUCUCGUCGGAAGAGGAGUUCUGUCUUGAGGUAGGGAAUAAUGUGGAUGAGGAGUUCUGUCUUGAGGUAGGGAAUAAUGUGGAUGAAACGAGCUGGGCGAUGGAGUUGGAUCCAUGCGGACAGUUUGAGCCGUGAUAAGAUGAUAUGAGCUGGGAGCAGGGGAUUUUGUUUGGAUGCUAGGAUCUAGCGGAAGAAAAGUGAAGGCUUGAACUCCGUUUUGUUAAGCUGGGAGGUGACGUGGAAGCUAGAAUGUUGCCCUGAGAAGAGAUGAGGCUUUGGGAUCUGUGCAACUAAGAUGGUAUGCCUUGGGAUCUAAAAGACAAAUAAUUGAAGGGAUUUUAUUAAAAUAGGAGAAUUGGAUCAUGUGGAAAAAGAGUUGGAACGAGUGGAAAGAAAUUUAGGUGAACGUGUGAAGAGUCAGGAAUUAAUGGGAAGCACUGGGUUUUGGAGAAGAGUUCUUGGAGUCGACUCUAGAGGAUGUAAAAUGAUGCAAUGUAGUUUAGGCUUUACCUAAUUAAGCGUGACUUAACCUGCAUACAUUAAGCUCAAUCCGUAAAUAAGUAAAACUCGAAUUACCUUUAAUAAUUUAUUAAAAUGCAAUGAUAAAGGUAACACAAUUUUUUAAUUGAAUUUACAAAAUAUGUGAAUUAAAAUAAUGAUAAGUGCUAUGAAUAAGAUAUUAAUUUAUGUAUUAUUUAGCACUUAUCA